GCCGCAGUGGCGGAACUGGCAGACGCCCGGGACUUAAAAUCCCGUUCUGGCAACAGAGUACCGGUUCAAUUCCGGUCUGCGGCACCA
RNAcentral lists this transfer RNA (87 nucleotides) under Christensenellaceae bacterium. RNAcentral's name for it is "tRNA-Leu". It matches the Rfam family "tRNA". Rfam says of the family: Transfer RNA (tRNA) molecules are approximately 80 nucleotides in length. Their secondary structure includes four short double-helical elements and three loops (D, anti-codon, and T loops). Further hydrogen bonds mediate the characteristic L-shaped molecular structure. tRNAs have two regions of fundamental functional importance: the anti-codon, which is responsible for specific mRNA codon recognition, and the 3' end, to which the tRNAs corresponding amino acid is attached (by aminoacyl-tRNA synthetases). tRNAs cope with the degeneracy of the genetic code in two manners: having more than one tRNA (with a specific anti-codon) for a particular amino acid; and 'wobble' base-pairing, i.e. permitting non-standard base-pairing at the 3rd anti-codon position. Lineage: Bacteria; Bacillati; Bacillota; Clostridia; Christensenellales; Christensenellaceae. The record is from RNAcentral.